RNAcentral lists this ribosomal RNA (373 nucleotides) under uncultured bacterium. RNAcentral describes it as "partial 16S ribosomal RNA". It matches the Rfam family "Bacterial small subunit ribosomal RNA", at positions 338 to 725 of the family's 1533-position model. The record is from RNAcentral.
CCUACGGGUGGCAGCAGUGGGGAAUAUUUCACAAUGGGCGAAAGCCUGAUGCAGCAACGCCGCGUGAAGGAAGAAGGGUUUCGGCUCGUAAACUUCUAUCAACAGGGACGAAAGAAAUGACGGUACCCGCAUAAGAAGCCCCGGCUAACUACGUGCCAGCAGCCGCCGUACUACGUAGGGGGCAAGCGGUAUCCGGAAUUACUGGGUGCAAAGGGUGAGUAGGCGGCAUGGUAAGCCAGAUGUGAAGGCCUUGGGCUUAACCCGAGGAUUGCAUUUGGAACUAUCAAGAGAGAGUACAGGAGAGGAAAGGGGAAUUCGGAGUGUAGCGGUGAAAUGCGUAGAGAUUAGGAAGAACACCAGUGGCGAAGGCGGC